RNA transcript from Orcinus orca (killer whale), 18474 nucleotides. It is a transcript of the gene named zinc finger protein 677-like, with no coding region annotated. Lineage: Eukaryota; Metazoa; Chordata; Mammalia; Artiodactyla; Delphinidae. The transcript has 4 exons. The record is from RefSeq and is a predicted model, not a curated record.
AGCGGAUCCCGCGGAGAGUCGCAGGCACUCGGGAGAGUUAAGUCUCGGUUUUUCUGGAAAUUAUGCUAUGAGGUCUUCGGGCACUGCUCCACCACACCCGGCCUUCCGGGGUCUCCCGGGACUGUUGACCUUCAAGGAUGUGGCCAUCACGUUCUCUCAGGAGGAGUGGGAAUGCCUGGACCCUGCUCAGAGGGCCUUGUACAGGGACGUGAUGUUGGAGACCUACAGGAACCUGCUCUCCCUGGGGGAAAAGACAAGAGUCCAGAAAAGAUCAUUUCCCAUUCCUGGCCGUAUGGAAUAGGGACCUAAGAACAUCUGCUCAGCAAAACUGCACAUUUGCUGUGGACCAAAGACCACUGGGUACCUCCUUUUUCUUCAGUAAAUGGCAUAUAUUAUUUGUUCCGCAAGAUAUGUACAAGAAUGUUCUUUGCGGGACCUAAAAGCAAAACCUGGAGAAUGAAUGAAUUCACUCUGUGUGAACACAUGUGGAUGCAAUAAAACCCUCUCAAGGGUACAGCAAUGGAGGAUGAUCAUGGUUGCUGGAUGAUGAUCUCUUGGCAGGGGUGACAGGUUGACUGGUGGAAACAAAGCUAGCAGGAGGCUUUUGCCAAGGUUUAACCUCUGUGGAUAUGAUUAUAUUUGGUAAGAAUAACUUUUAAACUACUUACACAUUUUCAAAUCAGAAUAUCAAUUUUAGCAUGAAGUUUUUUAGUGCAAACAGCUUUGUCAUAUAAAAGUAACAGAUCUCUUUUGCAGGAAUUUUUUAAAGUAUUUGAAAUCAUAUCUUUGGAUCUUUUAACAUUCCAAUCCCAAACAUAAAACAGACAUCAGAUGAGAAGUGCUCUUACUGUAUGUGUAUCACUGAAGAUAUAUCACUAAAGAUAUACUUACUCUUAUCAAUAGAAAUUAAUACGCACUUAACAAAAAGUGAUGAAUUUUGACUUCUGGAACAGCAACAGAAAAUAGUAACCUUAAGGGCUUAAGGGGCAUUACUAAACAACCUAGAGGGGAAAGAACGACUUGUAUGGACAAGUGUUGUUCACAGCAGGGUUUAACCAUAGAAACAGUUCUGGCAGUGCCCAGCUGAUCCAUGGCAGAGUUCUAUGUGCAGAGAUGUGGUUGACAACAUAAGCAGCCAAUUAACAGCCUAAAGAACAGGACGAUAAUAGGAUGUAUAUCAACAAGGACCAGGUGACUUUUGAUGAAAUUUAGUUGAAAGAGAGGACAGGGAACAAAAGAGGCCUCAUUGAAAUAUGUAAUUCAAGGAAUGUAAGAAAAUUUCUGAGAAACAUCGUUAGAAGCAGUAAUAAUGAGGAAACCAUGGAGUAUAAAAAAAUUACCUACAUUUCCUUAAAUAAAAUGAGCUAUUUAAAUAUCAGCAUACCAAGAUGUGCAUGAAGAAUCUACACAGGGAGAAUAAUUAUUAGAAUAAAUUAAUGUUGGGGAAGCUAGUAAAGUAGUCUUGUUCAGGUUUCAGAGGCAGCACUAGGCCUCUCUGACCGGGCAAUGACCCUAAAAGCUGGCUACAUGCCAAACUGCUGAGCUCCCUGCAGGCAGCACACCUUGUAAAUCAUUAGAUAAGAUGGGGCAUAAGUCUGGGGCCUUCUUGCACCCUGAGGGCCUGGCCAGCCCCCAGGGAUCAGAGAACACUCCAAGACUUAUGACUUAAAACCAAGGCACUUAUGACUUAAAACCAAGGCAUUUAUGACAAUAACCAGAGCUGCAAAUUUGCACGCAGGCUGACUGUCGUCCGGGCCUUCCCAGCUGGGAUUCCAGAUUGCUGCUGAGGGGACUUCCCAGUGCUGCUUGGAUCUGGAUGUAGGUGCUUCCCCAAUUCCAUGAUGUAAUAAACCUGUCUUUCCUAUACUUUCUUAGUUAUAUUAUUCUUAAUUAGUAUCCUGUAAUCUUUUAAUUCAAUGAACUCUCUGAAUUCUUGUUUAACUGAGUGUAAGAGUGGUUAUUUUGCCAGCAAAUCCUACGAACGUAAAAUGAAAGUAAAACUUCCAGCAAAACAAUUAUUUUCAGCAAAAAAAAAUUGAAAUUAAAAUAGAAAUCAAAACUUCCUUAUAGAAACUACAGCAAAUCAAUUGAAUGGUAACCUGUGACUAAAACUUAAUAAGAAAAAUUUAAUUGAGGAAAAUGUGUGUUAAAACAAAUGUGAUACCACUAAACACCUAUGAUAGUGGCCAAAAUACAGAACACUGAAAAUAUUAAAAAUUAGAAAUGAUGCAGAGCAGCAGAAACUUUCAUUCAUUGCUGAUGGGAAUGCUAAAUGGUACAGCUAGUUUGGAAGAGUUUGCGGUUUCUUACAGUUUUAAAUAUGAUCUAGCAGUCGCACUACCUGGAAGUUACACAAAUGAGCCACAAACUUCUCUGCAUGCAAAAACAUGCACAUGAAAUAGAACAGAUAAUCCUAAAAUUUGUUUGGAACCAGAAAGACACCGAAUAGCCAAAGCAAUCUUCAGAAAGAAUAAAAAAGGUGAAGGCAUCACAUUCCCUAAUCUCAAGCGAUGUUACAAAGAAUGGAAACUAAAAUGCUACUGGCUUUAAAGCAGACGUAAGUCAAUGGAAGAGACUAGAAAGCCCAGAAGUAAACCCACACAUAUGCAAUCAAUAAAUUUACAACAAAGGAGCCAAAAAUAUACAAGGGGGAAAGGACAGUGUCAUCAAUAAUUAGUAUUGAGAAGACUGAAAGGCACAUACAAAAGAAUGGAACCGGACCACUAUCUUAUACCAUAUGCAUAAAUUAACUCAAAACAGAGUAAAGACUUGAAUGUAAUACCUGAAAAAAAAAACUCCUAGAAGAAAGCAUAGUAAGCUCCUUGAUAUCAUGUCAGUGAUUUUUUGAAUCUGAAAUGAAAAGUAAAAGCAAAAGAAACAAAAAUAAACAGGUCUACAUCAAUCUAAAAAGUUUGUGCACAAGAAUGGAAUCUAUCAACAAAAUGCAAAGGCAACGUAUGGGUUGGGAGAAAAUAUUUACAAAUCAUAUUUAAGGGGCUUAAAAUCUAAAUUACAUAAAGAGCUCACAGCUCAACAGCAAAAACAACAAAAAUUCUGAUUAAAAAAAAAAAAUGGGCAGAAGAUCCGAAUAGAUUUUCUUCUGAAGAAAUCAUACAGUUGGUCAACAGAUACAUGAAAAGAUGUUCAACAUCAUCAUCAGGAGAAUGAACAUUAAAACCACAAUGAGAUCUCACCUCACAAUUCUUAGAAUGGCUUUAACAUAGACAUAAAUAUACGACAAGCAAGUGUUGGCAAGGAUGUGGAGAAAAGGGAAUCCUUGUGUUCUCUUAGUGCCAACACUACGAAAAACAGUACAGAUGUUCUGCAAAUAAAUAGAACUAACAUAAUACCCAGCAAUUCCAUUUCUGGGUAUUUAUAUGAUGAAAAUGAAAACACUAUCUCAAAAAGAUAUAUGUAUCCCCCUGUUCACUGCAGUAUUUACAAUAGUAAACAACCUAAGUGUCCAUCAAUGAAUAUGAAUGAAGAAACUGUGACAUGUCUAAAUAUAUAUAGUGUAAAAAACUUGCCAUGUGUGACAACAUGAAGGGCAUUAUGCUACCUGAAGUGAGUGACACACAGAAAGACAAAUACCUUAUGACUGAAUGAUGAUGGGGGAUUUUUUUUUGGGGGGGGGGUUCUUUUUUUUUACAGAAAAGCUAAUUAGACAUAUCAGUAAGCCGUGCUGUAUUUAAACUACAUCUAAUUUUUGAAUUUUCAAUUUUUGUCAUUAUCCACAUCAUGACUUCUUCCUACUAAAUGAAUCCUGGUAACAAGCCAGGAUGGACAAAAAAAUAACAAGUAGACUUAGCUCCACUUUAUUAGUCAGAUAUUAUUAGGAAAAGGAUCAACAAUACACUUAUCAUCUUCCCAAAGGAUUAAGUUAAUGGAAGGUGGUUUUCCUGUCAAAUGAGGUAACACUGUCUUCUAGACCAAGGUUUUUGGGAGUGAAACUUUAUCUGCUCAAAACAUGUCUUAUACAUUGACAAUUAAUUCUGUAAAAACAGGAAAUGUAAAAACAAGAUGAAUGUAGUCAGAAAACAGUAGCCAUGGGUGGAGGGGGCGUGGUCUAAGGACAGCAGCAUGGGUGUUGUGAUCCACAUGAUUAUUUGUGCAAACACAGUUCUCAGAGGCUGCAGGUAGAAACAAAAGCACCCCCAAGUGGGCCUAAGUACCUUUAAUCCCAGAAAGUUAAGACUGAGGAAUACUUAUAAUUAACCUAAAGGCCUCCCAGUCACGAAAAUCCAUUUGGGAACUGUUACUGUGGAUGCUAUAAGAACCUAGUUUAAAAACAAAAUCUCAAUUAUCUCCUGCACCCUUUAAGCUUCUACCCUCUAAAAGUGAAAAGGAAACCUACAAAACAAUAAAAAAUACUCACCAAUCAUAAAUAUCUGACAAGGCACUUGCAUUUAGAAGAUAGAAAGAACUUAUUUAUACUCAACAAAAAAAGACAACCCAAUUUUAGGAUGGGCAAAGGACCUGAACAGACAUUUCUCCAAAGAACAAAGAAAAAUAGCCAAUAUGCACACACAGAGAAGAUGUUUAACAUAAUUUUUCAAUAGAAAAAUGCAAGUCAAACCCAGGAUGAGGUACAACUCCACACCCCUUACAAUGGCUGUAGUCAAAGAGACAGAUAACAAGUGUUGGUGAGGAUAUAGAGAAACUGGAACCCUCAUACACUCACUCCUGGUGGAAACGUCAAAUGGUGCAGCAGCGCUUCUGGAAGACACUGGCAGUUCCUCAAAAGAUUAAACAGAAAAUUACCACAUGACCAAACAACUGCACUUUUAGCUUUAUGCAAAAGGAAAUGUAAAUAUACGUCCACAAAAAAUGUUCAAAAAUGUUUCUAGCAGUAUUGUUCACAAUAGCCAAAAGGUGGAAACAACCCAAAUGUCCAACAACUCACAAAUGGAUAAACAAAAUGUUGUAUUCGUUCAUGGACUAUUACAAGGCAACAAAAAGGAAUGAGGAACUAUUACAUGCCACAAAAACAAAAAACAAACAUGCAGAAAUAAAUUCCCUGCAUAUCAGUAUUUAUAGCAGCAUUAUCCAUAUCAUCUAAACUUGGAAGGAACCAAAAUGUCCUUCGGUUGGUGAAUGGAGUAAUAAACUGUGGUACAUCCAGGCAAGGGAAAUAUUAUUCACCACUAAAAAGAAAUGAGCUAUCAAACUAUGAAAAGUCAUGGAGAAAAUUAAAUGGAUAUAACUAAGUCAAAGAAGACAAUCUGAAAACGCUAUAUAAAUUGUUUGAUUCCAACUAGAUGACAUGCUGCUGAAGGCAGAUGGAUGAAGCCAGUAACAAGAUCUGUCAUUGCAGCAGUUAGGAGGAAGGGAGAGAUGAAUAGGUAGAGCACAGAGGAUUUUUAAAUAAUGAAAUUACUUUUUAUGGUACUAUUAUGGUACACACAUGUCAGUAUACAUUUGCCCAAACCUACAAAAUAUAUAACACCUAGAGUGAACUCUAACAUAAAUGUGGACUUUGAGGGGGUAAUUCAUGUCAAUGUAGGUUCCUCAGUGAAACAAACAUACUCUUCUGUCGGGUGUUGACUAUGAGGGAGGGUCUGCAUAUCUGGGGUGGAAAAUACAUGGGAAAUCUCUAUAACUUCCACCUAAUUCUUCCAUGAACCUAAAACUCCUUUAAAAAAGAUAGCCCAUUAAAACAAAGGUGUAUGGGUUCAUAAUAGGUACUAACUAAUAUGAAACAGUAAAAGGAAUAGACUACCUUUUCAAAAAUUUCUAGAGGUUAUACGGCUUUUGGGGAAACAAGUGUUAAGUCAGGGACUUCCCUGGCAGUCCAGUGGCUAAGACUUCGCCUUCCAAUGCAGGUGGUGCGGGUUCGAUCCCUGGAUGGGGAGCUAAGAUCCCACAUGCCUCGUGGCCAAAAAACCAAAACAUGAAACAGAAGCAGUCUUGUAACAAAUUCCAUAAAAGACUUCAAAAAUGGUCCACAUCAAAAAAAAUAAAAAAGUUAAGGCAAACACUCAAAAAACAAAUCCUAUAAAAUAUUAAAGAAAUAUUCAUUCCAAACCCCAAAUUGUAGAUAUAAAACAACACUAAGAAUAUCAUCAAAAAUACAGAACUGGGCUUCCCUGAUGGUGCAGUGGUUGGGAGUCCGCCCGCCAAUGCAGGGGACACUGGUUCGUGCCCUGGUCUGGGAGGAUCCCACAUGCCGCAGAGCGGCUGGGCCCGUGAGCCAUGGCUGCUGAGCCUGCAUGUCCAGAGCCUGUGCUCUGCAACAGGAGAGGCCACAGCAGUGAGAGGCCCACAUACCGCAAAAAAAAAAAAAUACAGAACUGAUGAUUGAAUAAAGAAAAAUGAAGGCCAGUUAUAACAAUGAAAUUUGCAAGAUGAAAGUUAUCAGUGAUCUAAAAGCAAAACAAGUAACAGUAGAGUUUAAAUGUCAGCAUCUACCCCAACUAGAAACUAAAAAUACUACAAAAUAGUUUGUAUACCAAUAAAGGCAAACGUACAAUAAAGAUAGGAAAUCAUGCACACACAAAGCUAACAGGGCAGGGAGGUAACAAGACAAAAGUAGUAAAAUCAUCUAUAUCCACAGUAAUUAAGGGAUACACAAAACAAUUAGAUGUAAAAUAUGAUAUCAGAAACAGUAAUCAUGAGAGGAGGAGUACAAAUGCAGGGUUUAUAAAAUGUAUUUGAAAUUAAGAGAUCAGCAACUUAAUCAUGUAUAUAUAGACUGCUAUAUAAAAACCUCAUGGCAAUUGCAAACCAAAAUGCUAUAAUAGAUAUAUACACAAGAAAAAGGAGUCCAAACACAACACUAAAGAUAGUUAGCAAAUCACAAAAGGGAAAAAAAGACCUACAAAAACAAAUCCAAAACAAUUAACAAAAUGGCAGAACAUUCAUAUCAAUAAUUACCUCAAACAUAAAAGUACUAAAUACUCCAACUGAAAGACAUAAACUGGCUGAAUGGAUAUAAAAACAAGACGUGUGGGCUUCCCUGGUGGCGCAGUGGUUGAGAGUCCACCUGCCAAUGCAGGGGACACGGGUUCAUGCCCCGGUCUGGGAGGAUCCCACAUGCUGCGGAGCGGCUGGGCCCGUGAGCCACGGCCGCUGAGCCUGUGUGUCCGGAGCCUGUGCUCUGCAGCCGGAGAGGCCACAACAGUGAGAGGCCCGCAUACCGCAAAAAAAAAAAAAAAAAAAAAACCAAGAUGUGUAUAUAUGCUACCUACAAGCAACUCAAUUUAGAACUAAAAACACAGAGACUGAAAGUGAGGGGAUGGAAAAAGGUAUUCCAUACAAAUGGAAAUCAAAAGAAAGCCACAGCAGCAAUACUUGUAUCAAACAAAAUAUACUUUAAAAUUAAGACUGCUGGGACGUCCCUGGUGGCGCAGUAGUUCAGAAUCCGCCUGUCAAUGCAGCGGACAUGGGUUCAAGCCCUGGUCUUCGAGGGUCCCACAUGCUGCAGAGCAGCUAAGCCCAUGUGCUGCAGCCGCCGAGCCUGCACUCUAGAGCCCAUAAGCCACUGCUACUGAACCCACAUACCACGACCACUGAAGCGCACAUGCCUGGAGCCCGUGCUCCACGACAGGGGAGGCCCCCCAUGAGAGGCCCGCACACUGCAGCAAGGGGUAGCCCCUGCUCACUGCAGCUGGAGAAAGCCCACGUGCAGCAGUGAAGACCCAACACAGCCAAAAAUAAUUUUUUAAAAAGAUUAAGACUGUUAUAAGAGAUAAAGGACACUACAUAUUGAUCAAGGGAUCAUUCUAGAAGAUAUAACAAUUGUAAAUAUACGUGCACCCAACAUAGGACCACCUAAAUAUAUAAGGCAAAUAUUAACAGACAUAAAAGUAGGACUCAGCUGUAACAAAAUAACUGCAGAGAACUUUAACACCCCACUUACCUCAAUGGACAGAUCAUCCAGACACCAAUAAGGAAACACAAGCCUUAAUAACAUAUUAGACUAAACUGACUUAAUUGGACUAAACUGACUUGAUAUAAAUAUAGAGAGGGGGACUUCCCUGGUGAUGCGGUGGUUAAGAAUCCACCCUCCAAUGCAGGGAACUCAGGUUCGAUCCCUGGUCAUGUAACUAGAUCCCACAUACAUGCCUCAACUAAGGAGCACACAUGCUGCAACUAAGACCGGUGCAACCAAGAUAAAAAUUAAAAAUAAACUUUAAAAAUAAUAAUCAUAAGUAUAUAGAAAACAUUCCAUCCAAAAGCAGAAUACACAUUCUUUUCAAGUGCACGUGGACAUUCACCAUGGAUAGAUCACAUGCCAGGCCACAAAUCAAGUCUUGGUAAAUUUAAGACUACAAUCAUAUCAAGCAUCUUUUCCAACUACAGCACUGAGACUAGAAAUCCACUACAGGAAAGAAAAACUGCAAAAACACAAAAAUGUGGACGCUAAGCAAUAUGCUAUUAAGUAACCAGUGGACCACUGAAACAAUCAAAGAGGAAAUAAAAGAUACCUGGAGACAAUAGCCUCAAGAAAAACAGAAAAAGAAGGCAUGACGAUCCAGACAGCAAAAGCACUUCUAAGAGGGAAGUUUAUAGCGAUACAGGGAUCAAGGAAAAUUUCAAAUUAACAACCCAACCUAACCUUACACCUAAAGGAACUAGAGAAAGAAGAACAAACAAAAACGAAAGUUGGUAGAAGGGAAGAAAUAACAAAGAUCAGAACAAAAAUAGAGACUAAAUAAACAAUAGGAAAUGGAAGGAAGCAAGAUGGCAGAACAGAAAAACGUGGAGAUCACCUCCUCCCACAAAUACAUGAGGAAAAAUUCUCACAGAAUACCUAGUGAACGCUGACAGAAGGUGUCAGACAACUGAAAUUGCAAGAAAGAUCACUACAUAACAGGGCAGGAUCAAAGGAAAAAACAAAGAAGGAAUUGGGACAUGACCUGAACUCUGGGGAGAGAGCUGUGAAACAGGAAAGGUUCCCUCAACCUGGGAACCCCCCUCACUGGUGGGAGAUCAGCCACGACGGGAAGGGAGCCUCCGGGGAGAAAGGGCAACAAGCAGCCUGCGGCAGGCAGGACAGAGACGGAUGAGCACAGAAGGCCUGUGUCACCUAUGUGUUGCAACUCGAGCUUCGGCGGACAGACCCUGGGGGAGGACGGGAUGGCUGCAUGGAAGCAGCCUGAAGCAGCUGGAGUGUGGCACAGGCUGCAGCCAGGGGUGUACCCAGACAGGGCCCGGACCUGCGUGAGAAGUGCUACCCUCAACAGGCACGUGAAGGGGGGGGCCCACCACAGCAGCCCCACUCUUGGCACGCUCACGGCAGGCACAGCUCCACCUCUACGAGCUCUCGGAGCACGCAAGUGUGGGCUGCCCACCCGUGGACGUGGGGCCGACGUUAGAGCCCUCUCCCCACAGCUGUGCCAUCUGUGGGCUUACUCUGCCACGGCUGCCCCACAGGUCUUGUAAACUCAGCAUCUGUGGGACACCCAAGUGGGUUAUGGGGGCUCCCAUGGCGGGGGCACGCCUGGCAGCAGCAGCUGUGGGCUUUGUGGGUACACCCAUGUAGAGGCAGGGCCAGGGUCUCAGCAGCUUCCGUAGCUUGCGCUGUGAUCCUGGUACCUGACUUCAGUAUAUCUGUAUCUACUGAUUUGUGCUGGUGGCUUCAUGAACAGAGAAUCUGAGGGCCAACAGGGCCUACUGCCUGCAUUCCCACGGUUGAGGCAGGGCCGAGAGCAGUGCUGACAACACUUUACUCUGAGCCCACACGACACGUGACGGGCGACCACACAACGCAGUCACCGGUGGACAGCUCUUGCGGAGGAAUACUCAGGAUCCUCUCCCAAUGCGAGUGCUCCAGUCCUGCCUGCCUCACAUGGCAGCUCAGAAACAGAUGUGCAAUUCUACUCCAACAACUGGGGACCAGACCCUGCCCCAACAGGGCUGUGACAACCACAGAGCAAAAAGGAGUGCCUAAUCAAUACCCAUCGUAGGCUCUAGUCACCCCUAAACCAGUCACACCCACAUCAAGGGGAUAACGGACAGCACACAGUGAGGAGAGACGUGCACAGUAUCCAUACUAAAAACAGCCCUAGCACCAAAAAUAUUAGACUCACACAGGCUACACAGGGAAGCUCCCACACAGAAACAGCCCUCCAAGACCACAGAAGAUAACUGAUUCUCCUAAAAUCAUAGAGUCAGAGAAAUAUAAGUAAAAUGAAGAAGCAAAGGAACCACUCCCAAAUCAAAGAUCAUGAGAAUUCCCCUGAAAGAACAAUGAAACAGAACUCUCCAGUCUAAUAGACUCCAAGUACAAAAAGGUGGUAAUAAAAAUAUUGAAAGAAUUAUGAAAGGCUAUUGAGAGCAAUGCAGAUUCCUGUAAAACAGAACUAGAAACUAUAAAAAGGAACCAAGUAAAAUUAGAAAACUCAUUUGCUGAGGCAAAAGCUGAGCUGAAGGCAAUGAAUCACAAACUGAAUAAUGCAGAAUGAAUUAGUGAUAUGGAAGAUAAAAUAAUGGAAAUCACCCACUCAGAACAGCAGGCAGAAAACAAAAAAAAAAUGAAAGCAAUAUACAAUACCUAUGGGAUAAUAUAAAGCAUGCCAAUCUAUGCAGAAUACUGAUCCCAGAAGAAAACAGAGAAAAGGAGAUCAAAAAUGUAUUUGAAGAAAUAAAUGAAAGAGACAAAAAAAAAAAGAUCAAUAAAACUAAAAGCUGGUCCUUUGAAAAGAUAAACAAAAUUGAUAAACCUUUUCUGAGAAACAUGAAAAAAAAAAGGGACAGGUCCCAAAUCAAUAAAAUCAGAAGUGAAAAAGAAGUUAAAACAGACACCACCAUAAUACAAAAGAUUAUUAAGAAACUACUAUGAACAAGUAUAUGCCAAUAAAAUGGACAACCUAGAAGAAAUGUACAAAUUCUUAGAAAAGUACAAUCUCCCAGGACUGAACCAGGAAGAAAUACAAACUAUGAAUGGUUCAAUUACCAGUAAUGAAAUUGAAUCAGUAAUUUUAAAACUCCCAAAGAACAAAAGUCCAGGACCAGUGGCUUCAUAGCUGAAUUCUACAAAACGUCUAGUGAAGAGUUAACACCUAUCCUGAAACUAUUCCAAAAAGCUGCAGAGGAAGGAACACUUCCAAACUCGUUCUGUGAGGCCAGCAUCACCCUGAUACCAAAACUAGACAAAUAUAUCACAAAAAAAGAAAAUUACAAGCCAAUAACAUUGAUGAACAUAGAUGCAAAAAUACUCAUCAAAAUACUAGCAAACCGGGCUUCCCUGGUGGUGCAGUGGUUGACAGUCCACCUGCCGAUGCAGGGGACACGGGUUCGUGCCCCAGUCUGGGAAGAUCCCACAUGCCGUGGAGCAGCUGGGCCCGUGAGCCAUGGCCGCUGAGCCUGCACGUCCGGAGCCUGAGCUCCACAACAGAAGAGACCACAAAGGUGAGAGGCCCGCGUACCGAAAAAUAAAUAAAUAAAAUAAAAUACUAGCAAACCUACUCCAACAAUACAUUAAAAGGUUCAUACACCAUGAUCAAGUGGAAUUUAUCCCAGUUGUACAGGGAUUUUUCAGUAUCUGCAAAUCAAUGUGAUACACUACAUUAACAAAUUGAAGAAUAAAAACCAUAUGAUCAUUUCAAUAGAUGCCAAAAAGCCUUUUAAUAAAAUUCAACAUCUAUUUAUGAUAAAAACUCUACAGAAGGGCUUCCCUUGGUGGUGCAGUGGUUGACAGUCCGCCUGCCGAUGCAGGGGACACGGAUUCAUGCCCCGGUCCGGGAGGAUCCCACAUGCCGCGGAGCAGCUGGGCCCAUGAGCCAUGGCCGCUGAGCCUGCACGUCCAGAACCUGUGCUCUGCAACGGGAGAGGCCCACGUACCGCAAAAAAAAAAAAAAAAAUACAGAAGGCAGGCAUAGAGGGAACAUACCAUGAUAAAAGUCAUAUGUAACAAACCCACAGCUAACAUUACAGUCAACAGUGGAAAGCUGAAAGCAUUUCCUCUAAGAUCAAGAACAAGACAAAGAUGCCCAUUCUCACCAUUUUUAUUCAACAUAAUUUUGGAAGUCCUAGCCAUAAAAGAAAUCCAUGGAAAGGAAGAAGUAAAAGUGUCAUUGUUUGUAGAUUACAUGAUACUAUACAUAGAAAAGCCUAAAGACACCAUCAGAAAACUACUAGUUGAAUUCAGUAAAGUUGCAGGAUACAAAAUUAAUACACAGAAAUCUGUUGCAUUUCUAUACACAAAAAAUGAAAGAUCAGAAAGAGAAAUUAAGAAAACAAUCCCAUUUACCAUCACAUCAAGAAGAAUAAAAUACCUAAGAAUAAACCUGCCUAAGGAGGCAAAAGAACUGUAUUCUGAAAACUGUAAGACACUGAUGAAAAAAACUGAAGAGGACAGAAAGAGAUGGAAAGAUAUACCAUGUUCCUGGAUUGGAAGAAUCAAUAUUGCCAAAAUGCCUAUACUACCCAAAGCAAUCUACAGAUUCAGUGCAAUACGUAUCAAAUUACCAAUUGCAUUUUUCACAGAACUAGAAAAAAAAAUUUUUUAGUUUGUAUGGAAACACAAAAGACAAAUAGCCAAAGCAAUCAUGAGAAAGAAGAACAGACCUGGAGAAAUCAGGCUCCCUAAGGACUAAACUACAAACUACAGUAACUGAAACAGUAUGGUACUGGCAUACACAAAAAAAGACAUGGAUCAAUGGAACAGGAUAGAAAGCCCAGAAAUAAACCCACAUACCUAUGGUCAAUUAAUCUACCACAAAGGAGGCAAGAAUAUACAAUGGAGAAAAGAUAAUCUCUUCAAUAAAUGGUGCUGAGGGCUUCCCUGGUGGUGCAGUGGUUGAGAGUCCGCCUGCCAAUGCAGGGGACACGGGUUCAUGCCCCGGUCCAGGAAGAUCCCACGUGCCGCGGAGCGGCUGAGCCCGUGGGCCGUGGCCACUGGGCCUGCGCAUCCAGAGCCUGUGCUCCGCAACAGGAGAGGCCAGAACAGUGAGAGGCCCGUGUACUGCAAAAAAAAAAAAAAAAAAAAAAUAGCAUUGGAAGAAAAAAGUUACACGAGGGGCUUCCCUGGUGGCGCAGUGGUUGAGAGUCCGCCUGCCGAUGCAGGGGACAUGGAUUCAUGCCCCGGUCCGGGAGGAUCCCACAUGCCGCGGAGUGGCUGGGCCCGUGAGCCAUGGCCGCUGAGCCUGCACGUCCGGAGCUUGUGCUCCGCAGCGGGAGAGGCCACAACAGUGAGAGGCCCACGUACCGCAAAAAAUAAAUAAAUAAAUAAAUAAAUACAAAAUAAAUAAAAAUAAAUAAAUGGUGCUGGAAAACCUGGACAGCUACAUGUAAAAGAAUGAAAUUAGAACAUUCUCUAACACCAUAUACAAAAAUAAACUAAAAAUGGAUUAAAGACCUGAAUGUUAAGACCAGAUACUACAAAACUGUUAGAGGAAAACAUACGCAGAACACUCUUUGACAUAAAUCACAGCAGUAUCUUUUUGAAUCUGUCUCCUAGACCAAUGGAAAUAAAAACAAAGGGGACCUAAUUAAACUUAACAGUUUUUGCACAGCAAAGGAAACCAUAAACAAAACGAAAAGACAACCCUACAGAAUGGGAGAAAAUAUUUUCAAAAGAUAUGACCCACAAUGGAUUAAUUUCCAAAAUAUACAAACAGCCCAGUAUCAAAAAAACAAACACAAAAUCUUAAUUAAAAAAUGGGCAGAAGAUCUAAAUAGACAUUUCACCAGAGAAGACAUACAGAUGACCAAAGGCACAUGAAAAAAUGCUUGACAUCACUAAUUAUUAGACAAAUGAAAAUCAAAACUACAAUGAAGUUAUCACCCCAUUCCGGUCAGAAAGGCUAUUAUCAAAAAGUCUACUAAUAAUAAAUUCUGAAGAGGGUGUGAGAAAAAGGAACCCUCCUAAACUGUCGGUGGAAAUGUAAACUGGUACAGCCACUACGGAGAACAGUAUGGAGAUGCCUUCAAAAACUAAAAAUAGAGUUACCAUAUGAUUCUGUAAUACCACUCCUGGGCAUAUAUCUGGAGAAAAUUAUAAUUCAAAAACAUAUAUGCACUGUAAUGUUCACACCAGCACUAUUUACAAUAGCCAAGACAUAGAAGGAACUUAAAUGUCCAUCAGCAGAUGAAUGGAUAAAGAUAUUGUAGUAUGUACAUACAAUGAAAUAUUACUCUACCAUAAAAAAGAAUGAAAUUUUGCCAUUUGCAAAAACACGGAUGGACUUCAAGAUUAUCAUACUAAGUGAAGUAAGUCAGAAAAAGAAAGGCAAAUACCAUAUGACAUCAUUUAUAGGUGGAAUCUAAGAUAUGACACAAAUGAACUUACCUGUGAAACAGACUCACAGACAUAGAGAACAGACUUGUGGUUUCCAAGGGGAAGAGGGGGCACAGGAGGGAUGGACUGGGAGUCUGGGUUUAGCAGAUGCAAACUAUUAUAUAUAGAAUGGAUAAACAACAAGGUCCUACUAUUAUAGCACAGGGAACUGUAUGCAAUAUCCUGUGAUAAACCUUAAUGGAAAAGAAUAUAAAAUGUACAUAUAUGUAUAACCGAAUCACUUUGCUAUACAGCACAAAUUAACAGAACAUUGUAAAUCAACUAUACUUCAAUUAAAAAAAAAAAAUGAGGUCAGCAUCACACUGAUACCAAAACCAGACAAAGAUAUCACAAGAAAAUUACAGGCCAGUAUCACCAAUGAACAUAGAUGCAAAAAUGCUCAACAAGAUAUUAGCAAACUGAAUCCAACAAUACAUUAAAAAGAUCAUAGAUCAUGAUCAAGUGGAAUUUAUCCUAGGAUGAAAAGAUUUUUCAAUAUCUGCAAAUCAAUCAAUAUGAUACAACACAUUAACAAACUGAAAAAUAAAAACCAGAAGGAGGAACCAAGAUGGUGGAGCAGUAGGAUGUGAAGCUCACCUUCUCCCACAAAUAUCUCCAUGGGGAACGAUUCUCACAUAAUAUCUACUGAACACUGGCAGACCAACUCAGACUGCUGAAAGGGCAAGAAAAUCUCUACAUAACUGGGUAGGAAAAAAAAGAAAAGAAAAGGAAGUGAGAAAGCAGUCGGGACAGGACCUGCGCCCCUGGGAGGGAGCUGUGAAAGAGGGAAGGUUCCUGCACCCUGGGAAGCCCCCUCACUGGCAGGGAGAUCUGCUGAGACAGAAGGGGAGCUUCAGAGCCUCCGAGGAGAAUGCAGCAGAUGGUUUGAGGCAGCCAGAGUGGAGGGAGAAGCACAUAGUCAGUGCCACUGCCCUGCACUUCCCAGCCUGAGAUGCACAUCCUGGGAGCUGGAACUCAGGCCCUGGUGAUCAGGCCUGGGAAGAGGACUGGGGAUGGUUGUGUGGAAGCAGGCCUGGGGGUGGGGGGGGCACGGGGAGACUGGAUUCUGGUGCAACCACAACUGAGGGUGUAUGUGGAGGAAGCCCGGGGUGCCUUAGAGGCCAGGCACCAUUGUUUGAGGGGUGUGUGAGGGAAGGGGUGACUCACCAUCAUACCCUUUUCCCCUGUGCACGUGCCUGUUCUCAGAACAGGACACCUCCUGUGCUGGCUCCAGGGCUCGUCAUGAUCCGCCUCUGCCACCCUCACAGACUCCAGAAGUGGUCAGGAGCUGCCACCACUACCUGGACUCCAGGAAUGGUCACAAGCCACCUCCAUUCCCAUUACAUGCUCAGGGGGUGCACCUGAGCCACCACCGCUGCCUAAAACCCCAGGACCCGACACCAGCCACCUCACCUGCACAUCUCCUAUCAAGAAGAUAACGAUUCUCACACACUGAUGACACACACGACAGGCAUCCAUACUAAAAACAGCCCUUGCACCAAAUAUAUUAAGCCCACACAACCCCCACAUACAAAUAGCCCUCGAAGACCACAGCAGACAGUUGCUUCUCCUCAACUCACAGGGUAAGACAAAUAUAAUUAAAAUGAAAAAGUAGAGGAACCACUCCCAGUUAAAAGACCAAGAGAAUUUCCUUGAAACAACAAACAAUGAAACAGAUCUCUUCAGUCUAACAGACACCGACUUCAAAAAGAAGAUUCUGAAAAUACUGAAGGAAUUAAUAAAGGCUAUCAACAGAAAUGCAGAGUAGUGUAAAAAGGAACUACAAACUAUUAAGAGGAACCAAUAAAAACUAGAAAACUCAUUUGCACAUACAAAAGCUGAGCUAAAGGCAAUCAACUGCCCAAUGAAUAAUGCAGAAGAAAGAAUAAGUGACCUGAAGGAUAGAAUAAUGGAAAUCACACAAUCAUGACAGCAGACAGAAAACCAAAUGAAAAAAUAAAAUAAAAGCAAUAUAAGAGAUCUGUGGGAUAUAAUAAAGUGUGCCAAUCUGUAUACAAUAGGGAUUCCAGAGGGGAAGAAAGAGAAAAGGGGAUCAAAAAUGUAUCUGAAGAAAUUAUGGCCGAAAAAUUUCCAAACGCAAAAAAAGGAAACAGAUAUCCAGGUACAGGAAGUAAAGAGAGUCCCAAACAAAAUAAAUGUGGAACCAUAAAAAAACCAGAAUUGCCAAAGCAAUCCUGAAGAAAAAGAACAAAGCAGGAGGCAUAAUCAUCACAGACUUCAGACAAUACUACAAAGUUACAGUAAUCAAACAGCAUGGUAUUGGCACAAAAACAGACAUAUGUAUCAAUGGAACAGAAGAGAGAGCCCAGAAAUAAACCCACAUGCCUAUGAUCAAUUCAUCUUCAACAAAGGACGCAAGAAUAUACAAUGGGGAAAAGACAUUCUCUUCAGCAAGUGGUGUUGGGAAAGUUGGACAGCCACAUGUAAAUCAGUGAAGUUAGAACACACCCUCUCACCAUACACAAAAAUAAACUCAAAAUGGCUUAAGGACUUAAACAUAAGACAUGACACCAUAAAACUCCUAAAAGAGAACAUAGGCAAAACAUUCCCUGACAUAAAUUGUACCAAUGUUUUCUUAGGUCAGUCUCCCAAGGCAAUAGAAAUAAAAGCAAAAAGAAACAAAUGGGACCUAAUCAAACUUACAAGAUUUUGCAUAGUAAAGGAAACCAUCAAUAAAACGGAAAGACAACCUACAGAAUGGGAGAAAAUAUUUGCAAACAAUGCAAUCGACAAGGGCUUAGUUUCCAAAUAUACAAACAGCUCAUACAACUCAACAACAAAAAAACAACCCAGUUGAAAAAUGGGCAGAAUACCUAAAUAGACAUUUCUUCAAAGAAAAAAUGGCCAGUAGGCACAUGAAAAGAUCCUCAACAUCGCUCAUUAUUAGAGAAAUGCAAAUCAAAACUAAAAUUAGGUACCACCUCAUACCAGUCAGGACGGCCAUCCUUAAAAAUUUUACAAAUAACAAAUGCUGGAGAGGGUAUGGAAAAAGGGAACCCUACACUGUUGGUGGUAAUGUAAGUUGGUGCAGCUACUGUGGAAAAAAGUAUGGAGGUUCCUCAGAAAACUAAAAAUAGAAUUACCAUAUGAUCCAGCAAUCCCAGUCCUGGACAUAUAUCUAGGCAAAACUAUAAUUCAAAAAGACACAUGGGGCUUCCCUGGUGGUGCAGUGGUUGAGAGUCCGCCUGCCGAUGCAGGGGACUCGGGUUCGUGCCCUGGUCCGGGAGGAUCCCACAUGCCGCGAGGCGGCUGGGCGCGUGAGCCAUGGCUGCUGGGCUUGCGCAUCCGGAGCCUGUGCUCUGCAGCGGGAGAGGCCACAGCGGUGAGAGGCCCGCGUACCGCAAAAAAAAAAAAAAAAAGACACAUGAACCCCUAUGUCCAUAGUACUAUUCACAAUAGCCAAGACAUGAAAACAACCUAAAUGUCCAUCAACAGAAGAAUUUAUGAAGAAGAUGUGGUACAUAUAUACAAUGGAAUACUACUCAGCCAUAAAAAGGAACGAAAUAAUGCCACCUGCAGCAACAUGGAUGCAACUAGAGAUUAUCAUACUAAGUGAAGUAAGUCAGAAAGAGAAAGACAAAUACCGUAUGUUAUUACUUAUAUAUGGAAUCUAAAAUAUGACACAAAUGAACCUAUCUAUAAAACAGCAACAGAAUCACAGAUAUAGAGAACAGGCUAGUGGUUGCCAAGGGGGAUGGGGUUGGGGAAGGGGUGGAGUAGGAGGUUGGGGUUAGCACAUGUAAGCUUUUAUAUAUAGACUGGAUAAACAACAAGGUCCUACUGUGUAGUACAAAGAACUAUAUUCAAUAUCCUAUGAUAAACCAUAAUGGAAAAGUACAUUAAAAAAAGAAUAUAUAUAUAUAACUAAAUCACUGCUGUACAGCAGAAAUUAACACAACAUUGUACAUCAACUAUACUUCAAUUAAAAAAUACUGAUCAUAGGGCUUCCCUGGUGGCACAGUGGUUGAGAAUCUGCCUGCCAAUGCAGGGGACACGGGUUCAAGCCCUGGUCUGGGAAGAUCCCACAUGCCGUGGAGCAAGUAGGCCCGUGAGCCACAAUUGCUGAGCCUGCGCGUCUGGAGCCUGUGCUCCGCAACAAGAGAGGCCACGAUAGUGAGAGGCCCGCGCACCGCGAUGAAGAGCGGCCCCCACUUGCCACAACUAGAGAAAGCCCUCGCACAGAAACGAAGACCCAACACAGCCAUAAAUAAAUAAAUUAAUAAUAAAAAAAU